Hypanus sabinus (Atlantic stingray) is the source of this 149-nucleotide long non-coding RNA. RefSeq lists it as uncharacterized. The transcript has 3 exons. The record is from RefSeq and is a predicted model, not a curated record. NCBI's taxonomy places the organism in Eukaryota, Metazoa, Chordata, Chondrichthyes, Myliobatiformes, Dasyatidae.
AGUUAAUAUCACAAGUGACUGGGAGCAGCGUUUCAAGGUCUGGAGGGCUGGUGGCAUCCAGGGGGAGCUCAGUGGCCUCAGGGAGGAGCACACCUCGGGAUAUCAUCAUGAAUUCACCUUCUACAGAGUCUGGAGACAGUUUAUUGUAC